UGGGGAAUCUUGGACAAUGGGCGAAAGCCUGAUCCAGCCAUGCCGCGUGAGUGAAGAAGGCCUUAGGGUUGUAAAACUCUUUCGCCGGAGAAGAUAAUGACGGUAUCCGGAGAAGAAGCCCCGGCUAACUUCGUGCCAGCAGCCGCGGUAAUACGAAGGGGGCUAGCGUUGUUCGGAAUUACUGGGCGUAAAGCGCACGUAGGCGGGUUUGUAAGUAGGGGGUGAAAUCCCAGAGCUCAACUCUGGAACUGCCUUCUAGACUGCAAGCCUGGAGGUCAGGAGAGGCGAGUGGAAUACCGAGUGUAGAGGUGAAAUUCGUAGAUAUUCGGUGGAACACCAGUGGCGAAGGCGACUCGCUGGACUGAUACUGACGCUGAGGUGCGAAAGCGUGGGGAGCAAACAGG
Molecule: ribosomal RNA, 404 nt
Filed under: uncultured bacterium
Lineage: Bacteria
Description: bacterial SSU rRNA
Rfam family: Bacterial small subunit ribosomal RNA
Source: RNAcentral